RNAcentral lists this non-coding RNA (29 nucleotides) under Mus musculus (house mouse). The record is from RNAcentral. Lineage: Eukaryota; Metazoa; Chordata; Mammalia; Rodentia; Muridae.
UGCAAAUCGGAUUUGCCUACAUUGAUUCC